This 468-nucleotide ribosomal RNA is filed under the name uncultured bacterium. RNAcentral describes it as "partial 16S ribosomal RNA". It matches the Rfam family "Bacterial small subunit ribosomal RNA", at positions 28 to 507 of the family's 1533-position model. The record is from RNAcentral.
GACGAACGCUGGCGGCGUGCUUAACACAUGCAAGUCGAACGGAAAGGCCCUGCUUUUGUGGGGUGCUCGAGUGGCGAACGGGUGAGUAACACGUGAGUAACCUGCCCUUGACUUUGGGAUAACUUCAGGAAACUGGGGCUAAUACCGGAUAGGAGCUCCUGCUGCAUGGUGGGGGUUGGAAAGUUUCGGCGGUUGGGGAUGGACUCGCGGGUUAUCAGCUUGUUGGGGGGGUAGUGGCUUACAAAGGCUUUGACGGGUAGCCGGCCUGAGAGGGUGACCGGCCACAUUGGGACUGAGAUACGGCCCAGACUCCUAUGGGAGGCAGCAGUGGGGAAUAUUGCACAAUGGGCGGAAGCCUGAUGCAGCAACGCCGCGUGCGGGAUGACGGCCUUCGGGUUGUAAACCGCUUUCGCCUGUGACGAAGCGUGAGUGACGGUAAUGGGUAAAGAAGCACCGGCUAACUACGUG